Molecule: long non-coding RNA, 195 nt
Organism: Carcharodon carcharias (great white shark)
Lineage: Eukaryota; Metazoa; Chordata; Chondrichthyes; Lamniformes; Lamnidae
Exons: 3
Source: RefSeq, a predicted model, not a curated record
UGCCAGGCUCACCAGGUCGAAGAGGGUCUGAUGGAAUCCCUGGUGAAGCUGGUCCUCGCGGUCCACCUGGAAUUCCUGGAGAACAGGGACCGCAGGGCUACAUGGGAGCCAAGGGAAUCUGUGGAGAGAAAGGGGAGCAGGGCUUUAGAGGACUACCUGGACCAGUUGGGGAUAAAGGAGAAAAAGGAGCAAAGG